Molecule: long non-coding RNA, 337 nt
Filed under: Nicotiana benthamiana
Lineage: Eukaryota; Viridiplantae; Streptophyta; Magnoliopsida; Solanales; Solanaceae
Description: long non-coding RNA (NBEN_LNC024458)
Source: RNAcentral
CCACCUCUAUCUCUAAGCUUUUGUCGUUGCCAACACCCCUCAACCCGCCGAAAAAAUUAUUUUUUUCGGUGUCCAACUCAGCUGGUCCCCCCUCUUCUCCCCUCAUCUCUCACAUCCACGUCAUCAAAAUCUCAUCAAACUCUGACAACAGAGAAUAUCCUCGUCCCCUCACAUGAUUUUCUUUCAUCUUUUGGAUGAAUUUUGGAAAGAAUGGGAGCCGUAGGAUUUGAAUUACUAAAAAUCCUAUCCUUCCAUUUUAACCGAAAUUAGUCAAAAAAGAGAAAAAAUCAGGAAUUUUUUGGAUUGCUUGGCUUGAAGAGCAAGCAUGGAAGUUUCU